GGAUGUGAGGGCCAUCUGGCUGUGACAUCUGCCACUUCAUUGAUCAAGAACCUUGAGUCCACAGAUCAGAGUUGGUUAGGCAAGGGUCGCCUUCCUCCCUCAAUGCUCUAUAUGUGUCCCUCCCUCCCAGAGCUAUAGUAGGUGGAAAAGGAUGACCACCUCCAAUCGUGGAGGCCCAUUCCUCUGUGAAGUGUAUAAAAGUAACUGCGCUCCCCUGCUAGAACCUUUGAGCAAGCUCUCAAGGAACAGAAGACAGAUUCAGACAGACAAGGACUGAGUAAGAAAUAAGAAAAGAGGGGCUAGGGAUUU
Molecule: small nuclear RNA, 309 nt
Filed under: Chinchilla lanigera (long-tailed chinchilla)
Lineage: Eukaryota; Metazoa; Chordata; Mammalia; Rodentia; Chinchillidae
Description: 7SK RNA (ENSCLAG00000021737.1)
Rfam family: 7SK RNA
About the family: 7SK was discovered as an abundant small nuclear RNA in the mid-70s but a possible function has only recently been suggested. Two independent studies have found that 7SK RNA binds the CDK9/cyclin T complex (known as elongation factor P-TEFb). P-TEFb activates transcription by phosphorylating the C-terminal domain of RNA polymerase II.
Source: Rfam by way of RNAcentral